RNAcentral lists this long non-coding RNA (214 nucleotides) under Elaeis guineensis (African oil palm). Its description in RNAcentral is "long non-coding RNA (EGUI_LNC062402)". The record is from RNAcentral. Lineage: Eukaryota; Viridiplantae; Streptophyta; Magnoliopsida; Arecales; Arecaceae.
GGGACUUAUUUUGUAGGUCUCUCCAAUGCCAGCAUCCCUGCACUAGGACCGUACAUCUGAUUUUCAACCUAAAACGUCCGUCUUCUCGCCUCGAUCGAUUUGAGUAGCAAUAAGAGGAAAAAAGCUAUCACUUUUGCCCUAGAUAGAGAUCAAGCUGCUAUUAAUGCUUCUAACCCUUUGGGGCUUGGCUUAGAUCCACUUCCUCUACAUGGUC